Molecule: long non-coding RNA, 392 nt
Organism: Mytilus trossulus (common blue mussel)
Lineage: Eukaryota; Metazoa; Mollusca; Bivalvia; Mytilida; Mytilidae
Exons: 2
Source: RefSeq, a predicted model, not a curated record
UAUAGCUGUUACGACGCCAACUCCUAUAAAAUGUAACACGUGUGGAGAUAUAAGUAACGGCAUUCCCUGUUAUAGUAAAGAUGUGUAUGGAAAUAGUUCUACGACUAUCUGCCCUACUGGUUACAAUUACUGCAUGACAGAUGUGCUAAAUGAUGGCAAUGGUAAUUCCGAUAUCUUUAAACGAUGUGUGACGCAACCGACAUGUGACACAAAAUGGUUAAAGGAAUCAGCUGAUCAAGAUUAUUGUAUGAGAUAUGGAGUAGUUACCAAUGCUAAUGCAUUUGAGUGUCAUUUCUGUUGUUCAGGGGAUCAAUGCAAUACUGGUAUUAAACCUGCAACUUCAACACUUUUAUCAAAAACUUCUGGUUAAGAAUAAAGCCUGUAAUUCAGUG